This is a long non-coding RNA of Quercus lobata, 641 nucleotides long. RefSeq lists it as uncharacterized. The transcript is spliced from 3 exons. The record is from RefSeq and is a predicted model, not a curated record. NCBI's taxonomy places the organism in Eukaryota, Viridiplantae, Streptophyta, Magnoliopsida, Fagales, Fagaceae.
AGAAAAGUGACUGAGGAAAAAAGAGACGUGGUGUUGGGAAUAAAAAAUUGAUUUUUGUGUUUACAAAUUUGAUUGUUACUUGGACCUUUUUUUCUUUUGUUUAAUAGUUGUUACUUUUGUUUUCUACAAGUUUCAGCUUUAAAGCGGCUGCGAAGAAAGUGGUGGAACUUAUUUCUAAAGCACUUGCUUACAUACUGAGGUAUUUAGACUAGAACCAAAAGUGAGAGGGUUAGAAGCUGCUGAUAAGAAAACUGAAAGCCCGGUAAAGGAAGAGCUUUCUGCAGUAAAGAAGGCAGACAGAUUGAGAGAGCUUACUAAUCUUUAUGGAAAAAGGAAGGCAAGAAAUGAGGUGCAAACAGCUUACAAACAAGCCGUGUAAAAAUUUCAUUCAGACCGGGCAUCAAAAACUAACAUUCGCUAGCAGGUUGAAGCUAAAGAAUAAUUUACGCUUAUUUCCUGUACAAAGAGAAAUUUUUACCAUUUUUGAGUCACUAAAUGCAUGUUGAUGGAAUGGUUUUUAUUUUGUUUAGGAGUUCUGAAUUUUCUUUGGAUAUUUAGUUGUCUUUUGUUGUUAAAGUGCAUGAUUUUCUGUCAAGGACGGACCUAGUAGAGGGCCCGAGCCCCCCGGCCCAAAUCUUUUU